UUGAACUCCUGAUCCUCUUGCCUCUACCUCCAGAGUGCUGGAAUGACAGGCAUGUGGUAUCACACCCAAUUUAUAUGGCGUUGGGGAUCUAACUCAGGACAUUGCACAUACAUGCUGGGCAAGCACUCCUCCUCUAAAACUCAGAUUUUUCAUCCCUGGUUGGAAAACACAUUCCCACAAGCAUAUAUAUGUACACAUACGUGUGCACAUAAGUACACAAGGGUGCAUGAAUGAUCAUGUGAAAGUGUAUAGUUUCUUUUGUUUUUUUAAGGUUUAGUGUGUGUGUGUGUGUGUGUGUGUGUGUGUGUGUGUGUGUGCGUGUGCGUGCGCGCGCACGAUCAGACACACCAGAAGAGGGUAUCGGAUCCCAUUACAGAUGGUUGUGAGCCACUGUGUGGUUCCCAGGACUUGAACUCAGGACCUCUGGAAGAGCAGUCAGUGCUCUUAACCACUGAGCCAUCUCUCCAGCCCAUCUUAGAUGGAGGUCUUGCUAUGUAGCUCAGGCUGACCAUACCUAGCUUUGUAACUUCUUAAAGUGAAAAAAAGUCUUGGUUCCUAGCACAGAGGGAGCUAAGGCCGGAAGAGAAUCCCAGGGUGAAGGUCAACCAGGGCUCCAAAGCAAAACCCUGCCAGAGAGACAGAGACUGUGGGAGAGGGGAAGGCUAGAACCUAAAGGGAGGUGGGUUCUAUGAAGAUUGACUCUACGAUAACCUGGGCCUGGUGGACUGAAGGUGCCAUUCUUUAGAGUCCCAUUUACUUGAGCUUAGUACACAGUCUCAAUAUGAUUCUGUUCCCCUCUAAUAUUUCAUCUGUUAUUGUAAGUAAAUAUUGCCAAAUUGGGUUCUAGGGAGUGAUGGAAAUUAUCAGAAAGAUAUGGGCAUUGGCAUAAUUCAUCGUAGGGGAAAUGUGGAAGCUGGCUUAAUUAACACACAAUUGAAGAUGCACUACUGCCCAUUUCAACUAUAUAAAAAAGUCGACCUUUCUAGGUGUAGUGGUACACGCCUGCAGGACCCAGAAUUCAGUGUCCUCAGCUACAGAGUGAGUUUGAGAGCCACCUCAGAUAGUGUCUCCACUGCCUCUUCCCCAAAAGGAGUGAAUUCUGAAAGUAUACUACACAGUGAAUGGCAGCAGUUGUCCAAUGUUUACAAGCGCUCAGAAGUAACUUUCAUUUGGCUAGUAGACCCUUCUGCACCAGGUGAUCUGCAUAAAAUUCUUUGAAAAUGCAGCCGCCUUUUAUUAAGGUCUGUUUAUGCAAAUCAGAUCAUUCCUCAAAUGUAUUUUCGAAAAACCUCUUCUGUAAGAUCACUGCUCCCAUUGUCUUUGUCUAUUGCUGUUUUAUUUCUCUGUGGUAUUGUAUGUCUGUGUGCGCACACAGAACCCAUAGUUGUGCCUGUCUAGAACACCCCCGUGCUAUAGCACUCCCUCACAGUAGCUGCACCCAUGAUUGUUUCCAUGUGUUCAGUACAAACACGGCUUUCCACAUUCCCACCCCGGGUCCUUGCAUCAAAGCUGGUCCUAGUGGAGAUGUCAUUUGGUCAACAGAUUUGGAGGUCACUUGACUUUUUCCAUAUAGAACUUUACAGUUUGUGAGCACAUACUAGUCUCCCAUAGAGCCCUUCAGUAUUGCACUGAUGUUAAAAAGGGGAGCUGUUGCAUGUACUUCCUCCUACCAUUAUGUUUGUUACACUUCUUACUUAUGAUGACCUUCACCAUGUGCCAAGAGGGAUGGUUUAUCCUUUGCUCCUGUCCGUUUGGCAAAUUUUUAUGCAGCCAUCCAGAUGGUUUGGGUCCUGCUCUGUAGUCCUUAGGAGACAACUUCGACUCUUUCCUUACUUGUCUACUGACGCAUAGAUUCCUCUCCGCUGACACAUACUGGAUUUGUGUCUGGCACUGAGACAGUAUCUGUUCAGUUUCUUUCAUGUAUGACUUAUAAUUUGAUGUUGGGGUCCUUUGAACACCUCUAGGAUUCCAGGGGUUCCUGAUAACCCCUGUGAGGACCUCCAGAGUAGAGGAAGCAGGCCUGCAUCUAGACUGAAGUUGCUGACAGAGAAUGGAGGAUUGUUUGAGGGGGAAAGACUUAGAAAUGGAGAGAAUUGCUUUGUGGGAACAAAGGAAGAUUAAACUUGGAACAAGAAUACAACAAGCAGUGAAGUUGAUCUUACAAAGGGGAAAUUGCUAGUCUCCUGAACCAUGAAUGAGAGGCCUUUAUUGACGGCUUCUUGCUUUGGAGACCACAGUGCUGGUGGUGAGGUGGCUGAGGACCCCCAAGCAUGCCAGACAAGGUGGCUUUACAGGAAGUGACGGACAGUUUGAUGCAUAGUGAAGCUUGGGUAGCGGAGUUCCAGUGGACUAUUGAAUGUGUGAUUCAAUGCACAUCUAAGAACUGGAAUGAGGCCUGGGUAAUAGAGUGUUUGUGUGGCGUGCACGAAGCCGGGACUUCCAUCCCCAGUGCCACAUACACGGAUUGUAUCAGUUCACACCUGUCAUCCCAGCACUCUUGAGGGUACAGCCAGAAGGAUCUGGAAAUGCUCACUGUCAUUCCUGGCUACACACAGAGUUCAAGGCCAGCCUAAAACACCAGAAACCCCUUUGUUACAAAACAAACAAAAAAUAAAAUUUAAUGAAAGAGAAAAAUAAAAACAGAAACCCACAGAUCUAGAAUGUAAGGGGGAAGAUCAGGGUUUACUAUGACUUUGAUAACCAAACCAAUGAAUCCAGGGGUAUUUCAGAACACGGAGGCAAAAGGGAGAAGUGAGGGUAGAGGCUGGACCAUGACCCCCAAGAGUAUGUUGGAAGAGUCCUCCAAAACUCCUGGCAGCCAAGCCAAUCAGGAGAGAGUAUUACAGAUGUGUGAGAGGGGGUAGCCAGCACCCAAGGCAGAGAAACGCAUUCCUUUGCAUUCUACCUUUCUCACUUGCUAAUCCCUGGCCACCUCCAUCAUCUCCUAUCCAGAAUAACUUUUGAUUGCUAUGGUGGUUUGAAUAUGAUGGCACCAGUAGGAGGUGUGGCCUUGUUGGAGAAAGUGUGUCAUUGUGGAGGUGGGCUUUAAGGUCCUAUGCUCAACCUCUGCCUGGUGCAAAAGAGAUCCUCUCCUUGCUGCCUGUGGGAAGGCAGGUCUCCUUCUGGCUGCUUCAGAUCAAGAUGUAGACCACUUGGCUCCUCCAGCACCAUUCUGCCUGCAUGCUGCUGUGCCUCCCGCCAUGAUGAUAAUGGACUGAACUUCUGAAACUGUAAACCAGCUCCAUUUAAGGUUUGCUUUUAUUAGGGUUGCCUUGGUCAUGGUGUCUCUUCACGGCCAUGGAAACCCUAACUAAACAAUCCCCUAGUGAAUGAUUUUAUUCCUGUUUUACAAAGACAUUCAAUCACUCUUGCCACCUGGAGAAGCCUUGGAACCCGAGGCAGAGGCUGUUCUCAGUAGGAAAGGGAGAACGUAGAGAGUUUUGCUCUAAGUAAAGGUCAGUAGAGAGGUUGCUGGGAACUGAAAAGAUUGAGGAAGGUAUCUGAGUACAUGUCAGUGAGGUAUGUACGAAGAAAGAAAAAUCAGAGUGAUACAGACAUUUUAACCAAGGCACCUCAGAUUGCUCCUGUGGGGAUAAACGCCUUCCUCUUUCAUGUUUAAGACUCCCUCUCCCGGCCUUUACCUGAGAACCAAUACUGUGGGUAGAGUGGCACCUUUGGAGUUUGGGACACCACAAAGCAAAGAAAUCUUAGAGCCCAAUGGAACUGAGAGUUCACCCCAUCCGUGAUGUCUCCUGAGAUCAUCUCCUGAGAUAAGUAGAUUUCAGAGUUGACCUCUGAAGUCCUAGCUUCUUCUCUUUGGAACAUUUUUUAUAUCUAUUUAACUUAUUUAUUUGGGAAAGAGAAGUAGAGAGACUAGGAGGGCACAUGAGGGAAGUCAGAGGCUAACUCUGAAGUCUCUUCCCUCCUUCUUAUGUGGGUCUUGCGAUGGAGCUCAUGUCCCCGGGCUUAGCAGCCUUUGCCAAGCCAUCUCCCCAGCUCAAGUCCUAGCUGCUUCUCUGGACAAUGGCAAGGAGGAGGCUUACUUCCUAAGGUCAUGUCAAGGACGAAUAGAGCAACUUGUAUGAAGGAUUCAUUCGAGUGCUUCUUCCGACUGCCGGAUUUUGGCAGGAUGAGGUGUUGUUUUACACCAUGGUGGUUACAAACCGAACAGGCGUCUCUUCAACUGGCCUGGAAAAUGUGACUCUUCCUACUGGGAGUUCCAUGUUCCAAGAGAUUGGCUUUGAGAAGAUGCUUCUCUGUAAACACUUAAAUUCUUGCUGUUAAGGUCACCUGUAAUCCCAGCACUCAGCAAACCUAAAUCCGAGCACUGGAAGUUCAAGGCUAGUCUGGAUUAUAUAAGAACGUACAUCAGAAAUAAAAUAAAAGCUGCAUGGUGGUGGCACAAGCACCCCAGCACUUGGGAACUCGGAGGAUCUCUGAGUUUGAGGCCAGUCUGGUCUACACAGCAAGUUCUGGAACAGCCAGGGCUAUGUGAGGAAGUCCUGUCUCAAAAAAACCAAAAAAUAAACAAAAAUAAGCAGCAGAGAUGGGAGAUGUCUCAGUUAGUAAAAUGCUUCCUGCACAAACAUCAUAGCCUGGAUCUGAGUUCGGAUCACCCACGCCCACAGGGAGCGGUGGAAGAAGAGACUCAUUGCAUCUCAGCGGUUAAGGAGAUCUUGGUGAUGUGGUGAUGUUUAACCCGAACUGAGUACUAAAGUCACUAAUAAAAACACUACCAGUAGACCUGUGUGUAAAAGCUUCAGAGUCAGCCUAUCACACCUGGGAAGAACGGCCUUCAAUUGAGAAACUGCCCCCCCUACCCCCUGCUGCAACAAGCAGGGUUCUCUGUUGCUGUGAUAAAACAUAACUUUGGGGGAAAGCUUCAUUUCAUUUUACAGCUUGCAGUCCAACACCCAGGGAAGUCAGGGCAGAAGCUGAUGCAGACACAGUGGAGGGGUGCUGCUUGCUGGUUGGCUCCUCAUGGCAUACUCAGCCUGCUUUAUUAUAGAGCCAGCGUCACCAGCCACAACGGCGUAGGCUCUCCCCCAUCAAUCACUAAUUAAGAAAAUACAAUACAUACUUGUCUAUAAGCUAAUCUUAUGGAGGCCUUUUCUCAAUUCAGAGUCCCGUUUCCCAUCCGAUUCGACUUUGGGCCAAGUUGACUAAAACCACCAUAACCAGCCUGACCUGCGGGCGUUUUCUUGAUUGACGGCUAGUUGACAUAGCAGGGUCCAGCCCAGUGCGGAUGGUGCCUCUUCUGGACAGGUAGUCCUGAGUUAUAUAUGAAAGCACACUAAGCAAGCCUUGAGGGGCGAGCCAGACAGCACCACUCCCCCAUGGUCUCUGCCUCCAGGUCCCUGCUCUGACUUCCCUCCACAAUAGACUAUUACAUUGAAGUGUAAGCCCUUUCCUCCCUGAGUUUUCGAUCAGUGUUACAUCAUAGCAGUAGAAGGCACAGUAGGAUGCUAUAAAAACUCUCCGGAGGGAAAGUUUCCUGAGGGGACUGGCUUAUUUGGGCUGUUGCCCAGGAUGAGAAUCAAGACUGGAAUAUUGGGUUGGGGAAGAAGGCUCAGUGAGUAGCCACACUUCCUAAACAAACAUGGGUUUGAAUCUUCCUCACCCUAGGCAAAACCUUGGGCCUGGAGUUGUAGCGCUAACAUUGUAACUCCUAUUGUGAGGGGUAGUGAGAGAGGGGUAAGUUACUACCAACUUAGGUCUAGGCUCAGUGAGUGACCCUGUCACAGUGACUAAGGUAGAGAGUGACACAGCAGGACGCUUGAUGUCUUUCUCUGGCUUCCCACUCAUGAGUACACACCAGAACACAUGUGUAUAUCCAUCAUACAUAUAUAUGUACAUGCACAUUUUCUUAGUCAGGGUUUCUAGUCUUGCACUAAACAUCACAACCAAGAAGCAAGUUGGGGAGGAAAGGGUUUAUUCCACUUACACUUCCACAUUGCUGUACAUCACCAAAGGAAGUCAGGACUGGAACUCACACAGGGCAGGAUGCAGAGGCCAUGGAGGGAUGUUACUUACUGGCUUGCUUCUCCUGGCUUGCUCAGCUUGCUCUCUUAUGGAACCCAGGACCACCAGUCUAGGGAUGGCACCACCUACAAUGGGCUGGGUCCUACCUCCCUUGAUCGCUAAUUAAGAAAAUGCCUUACAGCUGGGUCUCAUGGAGGCAUUUUCUCAACUGAGGCUCCUUUCUCUGUGGUAACUCCAGCUUAUAUCAGGUUGACACUCAAAACUGUCCAGUACACACAUAAACACUCAAAUACAUGUAUGCACACAUGUGAAAAUAGAGUACACGGUUUAUACUAGACAUGUACUAAUAGUAAGAACUAUAGUAAUAGUGAAAAUAAGAAGUAAUAGUAAUAAUAAAUAAGAAGAAGAAUAGUAAGAACUCACACCACAGUGUGAGAAGUGAGGAAACCCUGGUGAGAGAGGCUGUGCUAGGUCUGUAUUUUGAGGAGGAUUAGAGGCAGAAAGGAGAGCUUAGGGCUAAUGCAACGAGGAAAGACUUUACACCAAGGUCUUCAAACCUGGUGAAACAGGGCAGGAGGUGGCCACUUCGGCAGCAAUGCCUCUUGGGUAGAGACAUAUCCAGGAACCCUUUGUAAACGAGCACCUGAACACAGGUGUCCUGAGAAAUCAUCUGUAAACUAUAUUUCAUGGAUGCCACCUGAAAUGCAUGUAUACGAUGUAUGUAACCAUGUUCAACAAUGUCACAAUAUUCUAGACUAUAAAGUUGUAAUGCAUGGUGAGGACACAGCUCAGUGAGAACACGCCUGCAAAGCCCUAAGUUGGAUCUCUACCGAGGCACAAAAUGGAACAGAGCAUACACCUAUAAACCCAACCACUCAGGAAACUUGAAGCAGGAAAAUCAGAAGUUCAAGGCCAUCCUGGACCUAGAGAGUUCAGAGGCAUCCUGGGCUACUUGAGACCCUGUUGUCAUAAAAGAGCAGAGUCUCGUUCCGCGUGUCUCUUAGUACUGAGUGAGACAUUCUAAAGCAUUUAGAUGCUUAAUAAGACCCGCAUCUUGUCCACAAGUGUGUGUGGUUUUCUCGGGGUUUGAUUUUUAUUUUAUUUUUUCCACUUUACAGAUGUAAUCAAAGGGGAGCGGUAAGAAGGGUGACUAUACCAAUCUGUCUUCUAGAGCAGCAUACUCACUUCUCCAGUGGCGGGGGGAGAGGGAGGGGCUUUAAUUUCGUGAGUGUGAAGAAAAUGUUUGACUGACCAUCCUUGACAAGAUCUGGGCCUUUUGUAUGAGGUUGUAAUCCAUGUUUACGGUGAGCUUAGAUUUGGGGCAGAGUUUUGGGCUCCUGCCUUUCAGCGUAUCCUCUGGAGGAAUGUGUCCUUUUCACCAUGGUAUCUGCUGGAGCUUGCCUGCUGAGCUGGGGUGAGGGGUAGGGGGGGUCUCGAAACUCUCAAGAAGGUUGAAAAUCUGUAGUUGAGAACUCAUACCUAGUUGGGAUGAAUUGUCUGCACUGUGUUCAGAACCCGUGUGGAGGAAUAGCUCAGAGAGAAUGUCCAGGUCCCAGGGCAUGGUGGGUUAUGGGAGUCGUAGUACAGGGUUUUUCUGCACACCCAUGCUUCAUGCCUACUUUUUUUUUCUCCAAAUGUGAAGAACGGCCACUGGCUCGAGACAGGCCCCGAACAUCCUUUAUUCCGGCUCCUUUAUGCUCCCCUUUUAAAGAAGCUGUCAAGUUCUCUUUCUGCAGCUGACAGGAAAGGCCAAAUCUGGGAUGCUGCAAAGCAGGCACAAAAAGAAAGUUUUUUUGUGUUGAUGUUUUUACCAAGUGAGCUAAGGAGAAUUUUAGAAUCAUGUAAUUUACUCCGGAGGCAUUUACUGUACAUAGCUAUAGUGAUGGUAAUUUCCUUCAUUGUUGAAGUGAAAAGAUAACCAUCAAUCAGUUGUCAAUUGGUCAAUUGCAGAAGUGAUGAAAAGAACCCAGUUGGAACAAUCACUUCUGUGGCUACCUAGACCAUUGGGAGGCUUGAGAAAAGCGUGGGAACUGGAUUGCAUGUUUUAAAGGGAUUGGGCCAGAUCACCAGAAAGGUUAAUGGGCGUCAUUGCCCGCUAAAGAAUGGCUCUACCACUAUGCAUUUUCAAGAUGAAAAAAAAAAUGAAACAUGAGGUUAAAAGUAAAAUACUGUUCACUGAGCUAGGUAAGAGGUAACCAACCCCCACCCCAAACCCUGGAAAUUAAUGUUCUCUUAAUAGAGGAAUAAAUAAUAACUCAGUAAUAACAGCUACAAGUUCAUAACAACUUGCGCUGUGCCAUCUCCCCUCUGGUCUUAGGGACCUUAAAACAACUCACUUUCCAGGUAUUUUUUUUAUAAGGCAUUGGGAAAAUCAAGUAAAUUUUAAAUAUUACGUUUAAACAAACAUCUGCAAAUAAUUUUGUUGUUAAAAGCCCAUGGGUGUUCACAUAAAAGUUAGGAUAACAGUAGUUUUAAAAAAUCAAUAACUUGAUUGAAAAGGAAUGAUACCUUGGGACUCAGUACUGGGAAAGUGAUUCCCUGUCAAUUGUUCCUAUUUCUAGGAAUAGCAAUGUUUUAGAUUUAUUCUGAGAGAGUUCCAAACACAUCUUGGUGGGGUUUUUUGUUUGCUUGUUUGUUUGUUUAGGUUUUUUUUAUUUUUGUUUUGGUUUGGGUUUUUUGCUCUCUUUCUCUCUCUCUCUCUUUUUUUUUACUGUGGUAGGUAAUAAAAAGGGAUUCCAGGCCCCCAGAAGGACACAGCAUCAUCAGUGUGCAAUCCAGCCCGUGGUUUCUUAGAUACCGUAUUGUCUAUUCUGUUCCGCUAUGUGAAAAAUGUUGAAUAUCAACAAUGGGUUUCAGUGCUGUAUUGUUGAGUUUUGUAUGAACUAAUCUAGCUUCACUAAAAAAAAAGAAAGAAGAAGAAGAAAAGAAAAAAAGGAAAGAAAGAAGAAAUAAAGGGAAAGAAAAAAAGACAGCUUUGAACAAAAGUCCACAGCCAGUGUGUUCCAAGUCCCUGCACAGGGCUGGCUGUGGCAGGGGACACUCUCCUGCUGGCUCUCUCUGACCACACAUUAGCUGGCUCCCAUCCUCAGGUGCACGGCCACACCCUUGCACCCAACCUUGAUCCUCUGAUGGGGAAGGUCCCAGGACUUGCCAGCUGGGACAGGCCUCACCCCCAAGCGCUCUAUGCAGUACUGAGAAGCAAACCUGACAGAUUUCUCCAGAAAAGUGGCCAUCCAUGGAAUGAGUGAAAUACUCUUUCUAUUCCAGGGAUUGCAGAGGCAAAGCUAGGCUAGGUCUUGGAGGCUGGUGGAAGGCGGUGCGGGUAAGGCAGGACGCUGAUGGGAGAGACUGGUCGAAGAAAAGCCGAAAUGGAUUCUCCGUGCCUUGGAUGGAGGAAGAGGGGGGAAGUGCGAGCUCCUUCAACUCGUUCUGUCCGGUGAGGAGUGAUCCAGCUUGGGCUGACAAGAGGCUCCGGAGCCUUCAUGUUCAGUGCUUUUUUACCUGCCAAUCAAACUGCUACAAGACAACACCCUGCUCUGGCAUGGACCGCGGGUCCAAGCCUGUAGUCCCAAAUCGGAUAAUCUCUGCAGCUGGUUACACGCAAAAGAGAAGCCAGGCAACAGACAUAUUACAGAAGAAAGCUCUCGACUCCGAGAGCGUCCUCUCGCUGCACCUCUGCAGAAGUUAGGAUCCCUUGGCGCCUUCUGCCCUUCAGUCGGGUACCGGCCGCAGCCAGUUCUCUCAGCCUCUAGGCCUGGGUCGCCUCUUUUGCAAGAAAGUAAUUUCUUUCUUGAGGAGCAACUAAUGUCCCGUGGAGGAUUAUGAAGAUAGAACCUAGAAAUUAUAUUCUCUUCAAGAUCCAUGAAAGAGAACCUGACUGCUUGCUUUGGUCUGAGAGUUCAGACAUCUCUUCUCUUAAGAAAGUCUUCAUUUCCGUUUGCUGAGUCCUCCUGUUUUGUCAUCGCUGGGCCCUGUAAGAAGUUUGCCAGGAGGUCCCCAGAAGUAGAAGGACCAUGCUUCAUUUACUCCAACUGCUAAGGAUGAAGAACAUUAAGAAUUCUGUAACCUGCUGGAAUCUUGGAGCAGAACAAUAUCAUUGCGGCUCAGACAUGUCAGUCAAACAGCAGAUGCUACCUAUCUGUCAAUGUGUGUCCCCAAAACAAGGUACUUAGCAUGAAGACGUAGCUGGGUCUCCAGAGAAGGCGCCAGAGACCCUGGCACACUGAGCUGUGAGGACAAGAAUCAGAGCUGGAAGCCAGCAGAGACCUGUGCCAGAGAAACAGGCUGAAAAAAACUAAAAUUGGCCAAAAUCACAACUGUCUGAGGCUUGACAUGUGGCUUAGGUGAUAGGGUUUGUGCCUAACAUUCACAAGCCGGUGUUGGAUCCCAAAUGCUAUAACCAGGCACAAGUAGGCAGUCCCAGAAUUCGGGAGGUAAAGGCAAAAAAAUUAAAAAAGGAUCAGCGAUUUCAGCCCUAGAAAGAGCAGGAGGUCAAUAACGCCACAUUAACAACCACAAAAAGAUACAAGUAUAAAGAUAAAAUCACUUUAGGAUAAUCAGGAGUUUGUCUUUUGAUUGGGUGGGUCCUGUGCUUUUAUUUAAAAAUUAAAGCAUACAGGCACACGCUGGGUGAUGUUUGCCCGUCUUCUGUGAAGUGCUGAAGGCUGACUUGUACUGUAAAACUUUCAGAAACACAGAACAUCAGUAGAACUUUCCUGGCCAAAGGGCUCAGAGGAGCCUACCACGGGCCCCAAUGGGCCGGGCUACCCUUCCCUGCUUUAGAUAAGGCUUUCACCAUAGGGUCGAAUUCGGUCCUGCUCUCCCCCUGACACGUCCGCCCUUGCUUUCUUUGGCCUGCAGAGCCCUGUGGGACAUAAAUACUAUUAUAUAACCGGCCCCUCCCAUCGUGCCUUCACUGGCCUUUGAUAGGACUUAGAAAGUGAUUACAUAGCUUCAUUUAUUUCUUUGAAUACUCAAGUUUCACGGUCAUUAAAGUAAUCACAGACUCAUCUCGGUCCCCAUGUGAGGGCAAUGCGGCAGUCUCUCCUUUAACCAUGAUCUCUCUCUCUCUCUCUCUCUCUCUCUCUCUCUCUCUCUCUCUCUCUCUCUCUCUCUCUCUCUCCCCUUUGGUCAUCACCUCUCUCCUGCUCGCUAACUCUCUUCCCCUUCAACCCUGCCAUAAAGGACGAUAAUUUAAAUUUUGGCAGUGAAUCAUGACAUUUAUUCAACUGGUCUCCAAACCACGAGAAGCUGGGUCUUACACUGUUCAGAACAAGCAAUAGCAAAGAGCAGUUCAGCGAGGAAAGGGUUAAUUGGGUGAGUAAAGGCUAUUUUUAAAUCUGGCCCCUGUCUGCCCGGCUUGAAAAUCCACCCGGUACUGCAGAAAUCCUAAAUUGCACUGCCCUGCACCCCACUGAAAGUCUUCAGUGCGCUGUAAGACCUCCUCAGCAUGGGGAAGAUUGGGGGUGAGCCGCUGGAGGAGGGGCGCAGUCUCGGCCUUUGUGCUGCAGGCCAGUCACGGAGGUCCUGCGGAGAAGGCGCACAGAAACCCUCGAGGCCUGCAGGAACAGCCCCGCACAAAAGCGCGUUACAUGCUUGCAAAUCGCCCCACCGCUGUUAUUUUAUUUACUGUGGUCUGCGGGACAAUUGUUUUCUCUUUGCAAAAUUUUUCAGCUUCAUGGGCUUUUCUCCUCCUCUGCAGCCAUGGUCACUUGUACCACGAGGCCACAUAGAGAAGUCCGUCAUUCCCCCCCAUCUCCCCCCAUCUUCCUCAAGGCAGGGCAAAGAUCCUGCCUGGGCAGGAGGCCACGGAAGGAUGCGAUCGAUGAGUGCCCGGGCUUUGCUUUCUCUUCCAGGGAGACAAGAUUGGAGAGCUGUGUGUUUGAAAUAAUGACUUCUAUCAGUCUCGUCUGUGUGGUUUGGGUCUACGUUGUUCUGGCUUUAUUUGAUUACUUUUGUUAGAGAUAAUGCCCACACUUAUCCUUGGGGACUUAUUUACUGGGAUGAGAAGAGGAAAAAAAGGUCACAUACACUUCACUGAACCAAUUUUGCAUCUGUAAAUCCCAGUGAUUUUUUUUCCCAAUUCUAAAACUGAUAUGAAUAUCAUAUCAUUAUGGCUAGACAUAUGAGUUUGUCGUUUCUUUGCUUGGAAGGUUUGGAGGAAGGGAAGCUACCAAAACCAGUUAUUUUUAAAACCCAACAUGGGUGAGGAAUUGGGAAUGGUCAGCUUGGUGGGUAGGAACUUGCCACAGAAGCCUAGGGGCCUGAGUUCCAUCCUGGGAACACACAUGGUAGAAAAGACCCAACUUCACAAAGUCAUUAUCUGAUCUCUUCCACAAGGGAUCCAUGACAUGUACACACACACACAUAUACACAUACACACACACACACACACACAGAAUAAAUAAAAUAAAAUGGAAAAAUCAUCUUUGAAAGCAAGUUCUUUUUGUUAUUCUUAUGUGAGGGCUUUUGCUUUCAAGACUCUCACAGUGUAACCCCGACUGGCCUAGGAAACAGAGACACACCUCCCUUUGCCUGCCUCUUGAGUUAUGCGGUUAUAGGCAUGCACCAAUAUCCACCAACAGUCUGUGGGGUUUGUUUUGUUUGCUUGGUUACUUGUUUACUUGAGACACGGUCUUGCUGUUUACCACAGUCUUAUUGGUAUUCCAGGAUAGCUUUGAAUUCAUGGCCAUCCUGUCUCUGCCUGAAACUACAGGUAUGAACCACCACAUUUAUGCAGGCUUUCUCUAGUUUGGUGUGUGUGUGUGUGUGUGUGUGUGUGUACAUGUGUGAAUAUGUAUGUGUGUGUGCUCUAUAUGUACUCCACAGGUAUAGUUUUCAGGACACUAAUAAGUCAUAUAUCUCGUUUAUACACACUCGUAUACCUAGAAGGAGUCUGGAGGCUAAUCUCAUGGCUAGAGGGCAAAGCUUGCUUGUUAUAUUUGAUUGAUAAUGUUUAUUUGCUCGUUGCUGCCUAAUAAAACAGUGUAAAAUCUGA
This is a non-coding RNA of Rattus norvegicus (Norway rat), 12979 nucleotides long. The record is from RefSeq and is a predicted model, not a curated record. Lineage: Eukaryota; Metazoa; Chordata; Mammalia; Rodentia; Muridae.